AACGAACGCCGGCGGCAUGCCUAACACAUGCAAGUCGAACGAGACCUGCGGGUCUAGUGGCGCACGGCUGCGUAACGCGUGGGAAACUGCCCUUAGGUUCCGACUAAUUCCCCGAAAGGGGUGCUAAUACCGGCAAAUAUCUUCGGUCCACAGACUUAUCGCCGAAGGUUGGGCCCGUGUUGGAUUAGCUAGUUGGUAGUGUAAAAGCCUACCAUGGCGACGAUCCAUAGAUGGUCUGUGAGGAUGCUUGGCCAAACUGGGACUGGGACACGGCGCAGACUCCGAGGAAAAGGAGCAGUGAGGAAUAAUGUAGGAAGCGGGAUAAGGUGAUACUGCAAUGUCGCGAGAGAGAUGAAGGCCUUAGGAUUCUAAAACUCUGGUGCCCAGAGUGAUAAUGACAUUACCGGGAGAAUAAGCUCCGGCUAACUCCGUG
Molecule: ribosomal RNA, 433 nt
Filed under: uncultured bacterium
Lineage: Bacteria
Description: partial 16S ribosomal RNA
Rfam family: Bacterial small subunit ribosomal RNA
Source: RNAcentral